This 264-nucleotide ribosomal RNA is filed under the name uncultured bacterium. RNAcentral's name for it is "partial 16S ribosomal RNA". It matches the Rfam family "Bacterial small subunit ribosomal RNA", at positions 793 to 1055 of the family's 1533-position model. The record is from RNAcentral.
GUCCACGCCGUAAACGAUGGAUGCUAGCCGUCGGCAAGCUUGCUUGUCGGUGGCGCAGCUAACGCAUUAAGCAUCCCGCCUGGGGAGUACGGCCGCAAGGUUAAAACUCAAAGGAAUUGACGGGGGCCCGCACAAGCGGUGGAGCAUGUGGUUUAAUUCGACGCAACGCGAAGAACCUUACCAGCCCUUGACAUGUCCGGACGGUUUCCAGAGAUGGAUUCCUCCUAGCAAUAGGUCGGAACACAGGUGCUGCAUGGCUGUCGU